RNAcentral lists this non-coding RNA (22 nucleotides) under Arabidopsis thaliana (thale cress). The record is from RNAcentral. Lineage: Eukaryota; Viridiplantae; Streptophyta; Magnoliopsida; Brassicales; Brassicaceae.
UCAUCGAUGAUGGUGUCGGCAU